CGGGACGGGGUGAGUAAUGUCUGGGAAACUGCCUGAUGGAGGGGGAUAACUACUGGAAACGGUAGCUAAUACCGCAUAACGUCGCAAGACCAAAGAGGGGGACCUUGGGCCUCUUGCCAUCGGAUGUGCCCAGAUGGGAUUAGCUAGUAGGUGGGGUAACGGCUCACCUAGGCGACGAUCCCUAGCUGGUCUGAGAGGAUGACCAGCCACACUGGAACUGAGACACGGUCCAG
This 233-nucleotide ribosomal RNA is filed under the name uncultured bacterium. Its description in RNAcentral is "partial 16S ribosomal RNA". It matches the Rfam family "Bacterial small subunit ribosomal RNA", at positions 104 to 334 of the family's 1533-position model. The record is from RNAcentral.